AGAGUUUGAUCCUGGCUCAGGAUGAACGCUAGCUACAGGCUUAACACAUGCAGGUCGAGGGGCAGCAUGUUGGUUGCUUGCAACCAACGAUGGCGACCGGCGCACGGGUGAGUAACGCGUAUCCAACCUACCCUUGUCCAUCGGAUAACCCGUCGAAAGGCGGCCUAACACGAUAUGCGGUUCACAGCAGGCAUCUAACGUGAACGAAAUGUGAAGGAGAAGGAUGGGGAUGCGUCUGAUUAGCUUGUUGGGCGGGUAACGGCCCACCGAAGGCUACGAUCAGUAGGGGUUCUGAGAGGAGGUCCCCACAUUGGAACUGAGACACGGUCCAAACUCCUACGGGAGGCA
RNAcentral lists this ribosomal RNA (348 nucleotides) under uncultured bacterium. RNAcentral describes it as "bacterial SSU rRNA". It matches the Rfam family "Bacterial small subunit ribosomal RNA", at positions 8 to 350 of the family's 1533-position model. The record is from RNAcentral.